GCCCGAGUACCAGCGCCUCGCUGGGGCGCUGUUCGAAGCGGCGUAGUGAGACGUUUCCGGUGUUCAGCGUCACCGAUCCGGGCUC
This 85-nucleotide transfer RNA is filed under the name Mycobacteroides salmoniphilum. RNAcentral's name for it is "tRNA-Ser". The record is from RNAcentral. Lineage: Bacteria; Bacillati; Actinomycetota; Actinomycetes; Mycobacteriales; Mycobacteriaceae.